CUCUCUACAAAACCCUGAGCUUUCAUUUCAAUCAACAAUGGCAACUAGGGGUAUAAACGAGUCGGGUCGAGCCUGAGCUCGACUGGGCUCGAGCUCGGCUCGUCAUGUUUUUAUGAAGGUCGAGCUCGCCUCUGUUCGAGCCUACUUAUUUGAGCUCGAGCUCGGUUCGCAAAUGAAACCCAAAGCUCAAGAUCGACUCGACUCGGAUCGAGCUAUUUUAAGAACAACCUCAAAUGAGAUAAAAGCUCGGCUUGAGCUCGCUUCAAUAUCGUUUAAACGCGCCAAAGCUCGGCUCGAGCUCGGCUCGCCAAUGUUAUAAUCAUUAUUAUUAUAUUAUAUAAAAAAUAAAUAAAUUUUUGUUUGGGCUCGUAAACAAGUUUUGUAUUUCAGGCUCGAGCUCAAGCUCGAUAACUAAAUGAGCUCUAAUUUAGGCUUGAGCUAGGUCUCGGGAUCGUUAAAGCUCGGCUCAUUCGCUUUUAACCGAGCUGAUAACGAGUAGCUUUCGAGCUUCUGGGCUUGUUUAUAGCCCUAAUGACAACAAUGGUAGCAAUAUUUUAAGAAAAUCAAUCAUUAACGUAGCUAAGGGAUCAUCAAAAGCCUUCAACUGUCGUGGAAAUACUUCUAUUUCCAUGUUACAUCACAAAAAAAUCAGUCUUUUUACUAGACCCAACACCAAGCUAAGAUAUGGUUUUAUUUCUACAGUAAACAAUAAAACCUUUUCGUCUUUAGCUCCAAACUCUUAGAAUUUGAUGAAUAAUCAGCUUUUGGAGGCAUUUAUGGACCUUGUCACACAUGAAAAAAUCUUUGAAGGUCUCAGGCGUUCUUGGUGGUAAGACUUUUUUCAUCUUAUAUAUCUAUGUGUAUAGUUGAACAUCUUAAGUAAUUUGGUUUUUCUAUUAUUACUAGGUAGUGUUUUAGGAGUUGUUAACUUUGUUUCUUUUACUAGCAUGAUGUUGGCAAGGCUGGUAUCUAAAUACAUAUUUGUGGAACUUGCACCACAAGUGACUGGAAGAGAAUUGAAAGUGGAGAAUGUGAAAAUGUUUUUUAGAAGCUUUCAAGGAGAAUGUACAUUUUCUUUUUUUUAUAAAAUUUUACGUAAAUUAUUUUGAAUGCUAAUAUUGAGAUUUGUGUUUUAAGAGAUACUAGAAAUUUAUUUGUGUACUGAAUUUUGGAUGGGUGUCUUUUCUUUCUUGCAAUUUACGACCCAGUGAUGAAAGAAGAUGCUACACGGAUGAAUGAAAAACAUCGAGUCCCCGAGGUUAUCGACACCGUUUUAGAGGGCGUCGAAAAACUCUACAGUGAUUGAGAGGAUGACAACUCAGAAAAAUUUAAAAUGGUAGUUUUGCAGUUCACGUUAGGCUUUGUGAUUAUCUUUUCACAAAAAAAAAAAAAAAAAAAAAAAAAAAAAAAAAACCAUCUGUGAAGGUCGGUGGAUUGAUGUUGAUGGGCACAGGUGUGGUAGUUGGACGGAAGAAGAGAGUUAACUUCAGAUGUAACAUUCCCUUGUUAUCGUAUGACAGUCUAGGCGCGGAAGGUCAACUAACAAGCAGAGAGCUUCAUGUUAUGAUCCCAUUGUUGGAGAAAGGAAAGAAUGGGAAGUUUAGAUUCAAUGUUCCAGUACCGAUAGGGCUUAGACUGAGUCGAGUUUUAGAUGAAUGAAAUGUCACUGCAAUAUUGUGUUUUUAUUUUAGGAAGGUAGUGAUUAUGAUUAAUUUAGGAUUUUGUAAUGAUGUUAUAUCAAUUACACUAAAAAGUGUAAACCUGUUUCUAAUAGCGAAUCAGAAUGCACGAGCAUAUUGGUAAGA
This is a long non-coding RNA of Helianthus annuus (common sunflower), 1805 nucleotides long. RefSeq lists it as uncharacterized. The transcript has 2 exons. NCBI's taxonomy places the organism in Eukaryota, Viridiplantae, Streptophyta, Magnoliopsida, Asterales, Asteraceae. The record is from RefSeq and is a predicted model, not a curated record.